CCUUCCUCCACGCCAGGGCACGUGCUGUGCUAAUGGUGGCUGAGCCAUUUGCACCCCGUUUCUGUAGGUUCUUUGUGGCAGUGGCACAGUAAGAAGAGCAGCUUCCAGAAGAACCACAAGGAUUCCCUGGGGGUCAGAGCUGGGCCAAGGCUUUGUGGGGGCCCCGUGGAUGAUCCUCUCUGGUCACGGAGCCCUUUGGGGAGCCUAACCUUGCAGGAGGCCAUCAAACUGCCAAGCCUAUUUGCAGGUACUUCUCUCCACCCGCCAGAGUCCUCCCUACUCCCUAAUCAUGCCCUAAUCCUCCUGGGGCUGUG
This 314-nucleotide long non-coding RNA is filed under the name Mustela putorius furo (domestic ferret). Its description in RNAcentral is "lncRNA (ENSMPUG00000029750.1)". The record is from RNAcentral. Lineage: Eukaryota; Metazoa; Chordata; Mammalia; Carnivora; Mustelidae.